UACAAUAUCGGCGAUGGAGUUCGCCUUAAACCCCGUGCAAACGGUAAUGACUCCUACCACUGA
Molecule: non-coding RNA, 63 nt
Filed under: Acetonema longum
Lineage: Bacteria; Bacillati; Bacillota; Negativicutes; Acetonemataceae
Also listed under: 1 other name
Description: Fluoride sequence
Rfam family: Fluoride riboswitch aptamer (crcB RNA motif)
Source: RNAcentral